UGCCAGCAGCCGCGGUAAUACGUAGGGUGCGAGCGUUAAUCGGAAUUACUGGGCGUAAAGCGUGCGCAGGCGGUGAUGUAAGACAGUUGUGAAAUCCCCGGGCUCAACCUGGGAAUUGCAUCUGUGACUGCAUCGCUAGAGUACGGUAGAGGGGGAUGGAAUUCCUGGUGUAGCAGUGAAAUGCGUAGAUAUCAGGAGGAACACCGAUGGCGAAGGCAGCCCCCUGGGCCUGUACUGACGCUCAUGCACGAAAGCGUGGGGAGCAAACAGGAUUAGAUA
RNAcentral lists this ribosomal RNA (279 nucleotides) under uncultured bacterium. RNAcentral describes it as "partial 16S ribosomal RNA". It matches the Rfam family "Bacterial small subunit ribosomal RNA", at positions 506 to 784 of the family's 1533-position model. The record is from RNAcentral.